Molecule: long non-coding RNA, 1061 nt
Filed under: Equus caballus (horse)
Lineage: Eukaryota; Metazoa; Chordata; Mammalia; Perissodactyla; Equidae
Description: lncRNA (ENSECAG00000053403.1)
Source: RNAcentral
UCCAAACGCUCUGUAGAUGUGUUGACAGUGGUGCUGUUGACCUCAGAGAUGAACACUGCUUUGGAGAAUGAGGAGGUCUUGAGCAAUGGAAAGAUUCAGGCUAAUGAGAGCAGAGACCUUGUUCUCUCCAUCUCUCUGGAUCCCAGGCAGUCCAUGACAUGGCAGACACCCAAUGAGUAACAUUUUUAAAUGAACGAGUGGCAACCUUUUUUCUGGACAUAACGUCUUGGCAUCUUCUGUGAUGUUCAUAAACAAACCCUGGAUUUGCGUUAUGAUAGAUGAAGAUGUGGAGGCCAGUUUUGUGCUAUGGUGCUCAUAUACAGGCAAUUCCUACUUAACCUGCAACAUCCUCUUGAUAACAAUGAUCUACUUGCUUUGUAACUCACUAGUUUGUGACCUCUGGAGUCCCUGAUUUUAUUUUAUGGAUUCAGAUACUGUAAGUAGCACAGACCAAAUUUUGAAUGUGAAUUUUUAAAACUAUUACCUCUUUUAACUAAAAACUUAAGGCAAACAAAUUUCAAGUAGAAAUAUUCAGGUUUUUGGAGUGUGGGAUUACUCAGCUUCUAUUGAUGACUUGUGGUUUCACCCAUUGAAACCUUCUGGAGAGUUCUUUCUGGUUGCCAAAGUUCCAGGCUAUUUUCAUGGAUGCAUAAUUAUAAGAAGGACUCAUUUUGUGGAGAAAUGAUGAUGAUGUGAAUUUGUCUGCUGAAUAGUGCAAUGCAAGGCUUUUGACUCAGUCUGUUUCUUGGCUUCCUUUUUAAAUUAAUCAGUCUUAUUUAGAAAUCUUAGAAUGAAUAUCUGUGGCCAGAGGUAUAGAGCAAUAUAUAUACUGGAUUGGGAAAUAAUAGAUCUGAUGUAAGUUGAAUAAAUAAAUUUAAAUAAAUUUGAUUUUAAUUAUAUGAAUUUGGUGAUUGAUUAUGGCCAAGCAUUAUACUUUAGAGAUUUUCAUAGAGUUAAGAAACUUUAAGUUGAAAAAAUAAGUAUACUGUGAAAUCAGACUUCAGCUAGUUAAAGAUUUAUUUAAUCAAUUAAUUUGAAUACACCAUCCAUCCUCAACAUUU